AGAACAGAUGACACUUGUGACUCCAAAACAAAUGAAACUUGUUCUUUUUCCCUCUCAAUAACAUCUCUAUUCAUGGCUCUUAUAAGUUUUCACAUGUUGUAGUCAGAUGGAUUUAACUGGGAUUUUCACCAACAAACUUGUACAUUGUUGUGAACUAGAAGAAAAGGAAUACAAGGUUUUUAAAAAUGUUUUUCAAAAUUAAAUUCACCUCCAUUUACUCUGAUGUUCCCAAAAUUAAAUCCAGAGCAAGUUUCAGAACUCAUCUAUGUUGCAAAAAGACCGAGGCACAUAGCAGGUCAGGAAUAAAGCUGUGGAGGAGUUUUUAAAAACAACAUCCCAAUCUCUGAAUCUCUCAGAGCUUUGCUCAAUCAUCUAGACAGAGCACGGCAUCUUAAAUUGGGCAUCAACAUAAACUUAGAGGCUUAGCAAGAAGAGCUUCAUUAAGAGAAACAGAAACUGAUUUUUUUUAGCCUAUAUACAAAAUCCCUGCUGUACGUAGGGAAAAUAAACACUGCACGUCGCAGGGAAUAAAGUGUUAGAUGCUACGGAAGAUUUAGUUCUGCAGGGAAGCUUUUGAAGAAGUACCCAGAACUACAACAGAGUGGUUUAGAUCAAAGCAUGUUCAUAGUUCUUGUCAAAGUACAGACACAACGGGCAACAAUUUCAGCUCCAAUGUGCAAAUUGAUGAAGAUAUACCCCAAAAGUACCUGUGGCUAUUAUGUUAGCAAUAGGUCAGUGUUCAUUUAUUUUUCAACAGUGAGUGGAAAACAAAUGGACCUCACAGUAUUUGGAUUUUUAUAUGUUAAAAAAUUGACACAGCCAUGUACAUUUGUUUAUUCCCUACACAAUUAUGGACUAUGCUUUGUGUUUUUCUUCACACAUGAAAUCCAAACAAAAUGCAGGCAAGUUUGUGGUUUUUAAUGUUAUGAAAAGUGCCGCGUCCUGCGUGCAAUACAGACACCUCAGUCUGCCGUGUUCGCACCUUUAAGUAGCAAAAGGAAAAAAAAAAAAAAGAAAGUCAAACAUCACUUAGUUUUACUUUCCUUAAAAACAAUAUUAACCAAGCGCCUCAGCACUUGCCCUUAGAAGGAAUCAACAGAACAAGAAGAGACAAGACUGCUCAGACCAGCCUUGAACCGCAGGUGAUCCAGAGAAAAUGUGUUUUGGUUUGCCGACACGCAGCCAUGACGACAACAAACGUUUAUACUUAAGAACUUAAGCUUCUAGUUAUGGUUCUACUCUGCAUCCCGACUACACCCAGUUUCACCGAUUACCCUUAGAAAACGGCAAAGUGAGACUGCAGCAUGUCAUUCAUUUCUCAGUAUUUAUUUUUGCUUCCUCAUAGAUCGUUGUGAUGCGUCCGAUUGCUUCAGAGUCGUAAGUUGAGAUCCAAGGUAUUCAUUUGAAAAGAUCACUUAAAAACUGCAUUCCAAAGGUUUCUGGUGAAGAUUUAAUUUGUUUUUAUCUAUUCUAAAUUAAAGAUCUCCAUAUUAAUAGUAAGUAUAAUAUAUUCUGCAGAGGUAUGUUGCCAUUUUAAAGCUCUGGCAUGUGGCUGCAUUUCUUUUACUUCAACUCCUUUUACAUAGUAAGCUUGAUCAGAUUCAUACAUCUUAUUAAAAUCUGUAAAAGACUUUCAAGCCAAACCUUGUAUAUAAAUUCUCUUGAGAGGGUUUGAGAAAGACAACAUACUCAGCAAUAAAAUCCCUUUGACAUGUUUAUUUGUUGCUGUAUCUUAUGGGCUUUGAGGAAUUAAUACCACCAAUAAAUUUCACUGAGAAUAAAAAAGAAAAAGAAAAAAUGGCAAAAAAUAUGAUGCGACAAGUCAGAUGUUCACACUUCAGAGCUAUUAUUACAAGGUUUUGAAAUCAGACCAAUUUUAAUUAAAUUAACUGAACUAAUAAUGCAGUGGUGAAUAAUGUAAGACGACUAUGUUGAUUUUAAUUGCCUAAAACAUUCAAUAAAUCAGUUUUAGCAGCAGUGGAGAAAGCUGCAUUUCUGGGAAUGAAUUUUUGUUUCCUUCAUUCUCACAGCAGAACAUCCAUAUACCUCUGCCAGAACUAGAAACCAUGAAAUUUGCUUUUUAAAUUUGUUAUUUUUCCUUACAGAUAUACAAAUUCAAUGUUUCUACAAAUAUAAUUUAAGACCUAGUAUUAAUAACUUGCCUCCAUUUAAUUAGAAUUAUUAUUCUAAUCUACUCAAUUUAGAAAGGUCUCAAUAUGAGACAAACCUCACAAAGUCCAGCCUGAGCAAGAAACCAGGAUUAAAAACUGAGAGACGUUUUGUUUCACUAAAGAUCUGAGCUGUUAUUACGAGAAAGAAAAAGUCAUGCAACUGAAGGAAGGAAAUUGGGUGGUAAAACUGAAAAUGAUGUGGGUUUAACAGUCUCUUAUGGUGAAAUGAUCAACACGGAAAUAGUGGUUGACCACACUGGUCUCUGGGUGUGAGAGGAAGAGAAACGAAGAAGGGUAAAAACUGCAUCAUGAUUU
This is a long non-coding RNA of Poecilia latipinna (sailfin molly), 2486 nucleotides long. RefSeq lists it as uncharacterized. The record is from RefSeq and is a predicted model, not a curated record. Lineage: Eukaryota; Metazoa; Chordata; Actinopteri; Cyprinodontiformes; Poeciliidae. The transcript is spliced from 2 exons.